RNAcentral lists this ribosomal RNA (460 nucleotides) under uncultured bacterium. Its description in RNAcentral is "partial 16S ribosomal RNA". It matches the Rfam family "Bacterial small subunit ribosomal RNA", at positions 338 to 795 of the family's 1533-position model. The record is from RNAcentral.
CCUACGGGAGGCAGCAGUGAGGAAUAUUGGUCAAUGGACGAGAGUCUGAACCAGCCAAGUAGCGUGAAGGAUGACUGCCCUAUGGGUUGUAAACUUCUUUUAUAUGGGAAUAAAAUGUUCCACGUGUGGGAUUUUGUAUGUACCAUAUGAAUAAGGAUCGGCUAAAUCCGUGCCAGCAGCCGCGGUAAUACGGAGGAUCCGAGCGUUAUCCGGAUGUAUUGGGUUUAAAGGGAGCGUAGGUGGAUUGUUAAGUGAGUUGUGAAAGUUUGCGGCUCAACCGUAAAAGUGCAGUUGAAACUGGCAGUCUUGAGUACAGGAGAGGUGGGCGGAAUUCGUGGUGUAGCGGUGAAAUGCUUAGAUAUCACGAAGAACUCCGAUUGCGAAGGCAGCUCACUGGACUGCAACUGACACUGAGGCUCGAAAGUGUGGGUAUCAAACAGGAUUAGAUACCCCAGUAGUC